AACGAACGCUGGCGGCAUGCCUAACACAUGCAAGUCGAACGAUGCCUUCGGGCAUAGUGGCGCACGGGUGCGUAACGCGUGGGAAUCUGCCUUUCGGUUCGGAAUAACUCAGGGAAACUUGAGCUAAUACCGGAUAACGUCGCAAGACCAAAGAUUUAUCACCGAAAGAUGAGCCCGCGUAGGAUUAGCUAGUUGGUGAGGUAAAGGCUCACCAAGGGGACGAUACUUAGCUGGUCUGAGAGGAUGAUCAGCCACACUUGGACUAAGACACGGCCCAGACUCCUACGGGAGGGAGGAGUGGGGAAUAUUGGACAAGGGGCGAAAGCAUGAUACAGCAAGGCCGGGUGAGUGAUGAAGGCCGUAGGGUUGUAAAGCUCUUUUACCCGGGAAGAUAAUGACGGUACCGGGAGAAUAAGCCCCGGCUAACUCCGUG
This 433-nucleotide ribosomal RNA is filed under the name uncultured bacterium. Its description in RNAcentral is "partial 16S ribosomal RNA". It matches the Rfam family "Bacterial small subunit ribosomal RNA", at positions 29 to 507 of the family's 1533-position model. The record is from RNAcentral.